GGGGAAUUUUCCGCAAUGGGCGAAAGCCUUGACGGAGCAAGACCGCGUGAGGGAGGAAGGCUCUUGGGUUGUAAACCUCUUUUCUCAGGGAAGAAGCUCUGACGGUACCUGAGGAAUCAGCCUCGGCUAACUCCGUGCCAGCAGCCGCGGUAAUACGGAGGAGGCAAGCGUUAUCCGGAAUUAUUGGGCGUAAAGCGUCCGCAGGUGGCGAUUCAAGUCUGCUGUCAAAGCACGGGGCUUAACUCCGUUAAGGCAGUGGAAACUGAAUAGCUAGAGUGCCGUAGGGGUAGAGGGAAUUCCCGGUGUAGCGGUGAAAUGCGUAGAGAUCGGGAAGAACAUCGGUGGCGAAAGCGCUCUACUGGACGGCAACUGACACUCAGGGACGAAAGGGCUAAGGGGAGCGAAUGGGAUUAGAUACCCCAGUAGUC
Molecule: ribosomal RNA, 428 nt
Filed under: uncultured cyanobacterium
Lineage: Bacteria; Bacillati; Cyanobacteriota
Description: bacterial SSU rRNA
Rfam family: Bacterial small subunit ribosomal RNA
Source: RNAcentral